Molecule: long non-coding RNA, 236 nt
Filed under: Zostera marina
Lineage: Eukaryota; Viridiplantae; Streptophyta; Magnoliopsida; Alismatales; Zosteraceae
Description: long non-coding RNA (ZMAR_LNC003938)
Source: RNAcentral
CCUGAGUGACACGAACGAGGGGUCUUUUGAGGAAGUUGCUCUGAAUAGUCCUCCCGUACCACAAACGGAUACCGUGCAUCCAUUUUCUGUCAUGUCUGCGCGUGAAGCCCGAGAUAUUUUGCGAGGGGUACGCAUUUCUGGGCGUUUGCGAUUUUGGAGGUCGCAAUAUCAACCUGCCAACAUUCCUCUUGUGGGGUUUCAAGCGAUUCCCCGACUGUACUUCCGACACUUCUCCG